Molecule: small RNA, 143 nt
Organism: Rhizobium sp. PDO1-076
Lineage: Bacteria; Pseudomonadati; Pseudomonadota; Alphaproteobacteria; Hyphomicrobiales; Rhizobiaceae
Rfam family: Alphaproteobacterial sRNA ar35
Source: Rfam
CAUCGGACUGCUUAUGAGCGCUGGAAGUUUCUGUCGCUCGCAGUCUGGAUGUCGCCUUAGACUUUUGACCACGGAUGUACUGGCACUGGUGAGUAGGCGAUAAUGAGGAAGGUCGGUGCGAUUUCGCCCCGGCCUUUUUUGUU